Molecule: transfer RNA, 20 nt
Filed under: Pristimantis phoxocephalus (Cotopaxi robber frog)
Lineage: Eukaryota; Metazoa; Chordata; Amphibia; Anura; Strabomantidae
Description: partial tRNA-Met
Source: RNAcentral
AGUAAAGUCAGCUAACUCAA